This 233-nucleotide ribosomal RNA is filed under the name uncultured bacterium. RNAcentral describes it as "partial 16S ribosomal RNA". It matches the Rfam family "Bacterial small subunit ribosomal RNA", at positions 99 to 334 of the family's 1533-position model. The record is from RNAcentral.
CAAACGGGUGCGUAACACAUUGGUAACCUACCUCGAAGUUUGGCAUAACCCGGAGAAAUUCGGAAUAAUUCCAAAUGUGCUCCACAUUUAUAAAUUUGUAGAGUAAAGAUUUAUCACUUCGAGAGGGGCCUAUGGCUUAUCAGCUUGUUGGUGAGAUAACAGCUCACCAAGGCUAUGACGAGUAGCGGGCGUAAGAGCGCGACCCGCCUCACUGGGACUGAGACACUGCCCAG